AAGCCUCACCUUGAAGCUUCCAAGAUUCUUAGAAUGCUGAGUGAUGUUGUUGCUGGAUCAUAUCAUUAACCAGAAAGCAACGUUAUCACACCAAACUGGGGAAAAAGAAAAAAAGAGUGAGUUCUUAUUACUGAAACAUGCUGGUCUUUUGCUGGAUUUGCUCAACGACAUACAUGAAAUCAUUUUAUUAGGAUGGUCAGUGUGAGGUUUUGGAUAGAA
This 219-nucleotide long non-coding RNA is filed under the name Musa acuminata (dwarf banana). RNAcentral describes it as "long non-coding RNA (MACU_LNC005927)". Lineage: Eukaryota; Viridiplantae; Streptophyta; Magnoliopsida; Zingiberales; Musaceae. The record is from RNAcentral.